GACGGUGCCGAUGCCUCCGCCGCCGCAGGAGGAGCCUGGGCGGGAGCACCGGUCCCUCCCCUCAUGAGGAGAGCAAGGCCGCAGGCCCCGGGGGUUGCCCGCCUUCCUCCAGGAUAUAGAUAUUGAGAAUGAGGAGAAGACAGGGCAUUACCUACUAGGAUGAAGAGGCUAUGCAAACAAACAUGGACUAAUCCAGUGCCAUGCAGCUAUAAUGGAAGGAAGGACAUCCUGGUUGCUCUGGAGCAGUAGCAGCUGUACCUGGGAAUACUUAGAAAAGAAAAAAAAGCUCCAGAGAACAUGACACCUGAGGUAACAGUAAUUUAUGUGUAUUAUUUAACUAGUCUG
This is a long non-coding RNA of Calidris pugnax (ruff), 345 nucleotides long. RefSeq lists it as uncharacterized. The record is from RefSeq and is a predicted model, not a curated record. Lineage: Eukaryota; Metazoa; Chordata; Aves; Charadriiformes; Scolopacidae. The transcript has 3 exons.